CAACAGAAUGCGUGUGUCCGCGAUAGAGUGUGGGGAGCGACGGUUGCGCAGCUGGAUCCUCGAACGGUAAUAUCGUCCUUGAGAAAGACAUUGGCAUUAGAGACUACGUGGGUUCAGAAGAAUGCGGGGGUGAUCUCACCGACAGUUACGCAAUUCUUAGAAAGCUUGUCAGAGUAGAUGGAGGAAGGAUGCUUCCCUUGGCUGGAACCAGGCAUCACAGACUUACAGUAGGGACAGGAAAAUAAGAAAGGAAGCAUUUCACGGAGAGGGGUUUGAAUUUCUAGGAUUCUCUACUCGAGAGAGCCGUGGAGCUCAGUACAUUCCUGAGAGAUCGAUAUACUGUACUAGCUCAUUGCUGCGGUAUUGGACCCACCGUGAUCUUACUGAAAGGUGCAGCAGCCACGAGAGGCCUCUGGCCUAUUGUUUCUUGCAUUGUUGUCUCAUAUAUUUUGGCGCCUAACUAUGGAAUUAGCCAGAGAAACUUCCACCCAUUGAACUACUCUAACCUCUUAAAGCCUUUAAACGCAUUUGUACGCGAGGUGAGAUAAUACGGCGCCUUUCGCGACCUCGGAACUUUUGAGAUACUUUACAGAGUUAUGUUGAUCCGGGUAGAAGAUCAGACACACGGCUAACCGGGGCACACAACGAUAUUAUGUUAAGAUAAACUGCUUUUCAGCAUUAAAAUUGGGAAAGGAGACCGCGAAGGUUUUCUACUCAUUGAGCUAUUGUCUCCAUGAAAGAGCGGCAUAUCUGACUAAAGUGUUAACCUGGACCCAUUCCUGUUCAGGUGCAUGGAAACCACAACCCUCGAAAUGCAGGUGCUGUCGCUCAACCAGGUGCCACCAAUGUAUUCCAACAAAGUAACCAAGAGUUCUCUUCUUUUUCUGGGGUUGGGGGGAGGGGGGAGGGAGAGAAAAAAACAUGUCAAAGAUCUUCCCUUCACAAAUUUAUUUUACGAAGUCUCCUCACAAUAUGUCCAUCACAGGGUUUUCGUUUGGGGUUGCUUUGAAUCAGUUGGCUUGCAAGCUGACUUUAAAUUCUGCCUGAUAAAGAAUUAACUGUAAAGCCCUGUUUCGGAAAAACUUGCUUCCGAGAUUCUUUCACCACUCGACGAAGCUCUCAGAACCUUGUGCGUACUUGUUAUUUUAAAAAAAACUUACGGGGCAGAAAACAGCCAUGCGAAAAAUCUGAAGCACAGUGCUGGAACAGGGUUGCUAUGAUAAAAAAAACCCUGCAGGUGCGGGAAGUAUGCUGGAUAUAAGUGCUGGAAGCAUUCAGCAGGUCGGUCAGCACAUCUGUGAAGAGGAGUAGACUCAGGUCGAAGACCUUUCAGCAGAGCAGAGGUUAAAAUUGACUAUUUCAUUAAAGUUAACAGCAAGUUUUUUUUCAAUGCUGUUUUGUAUUGAGGAUAGUGUGUGCGUGUGUGUGUGAGAGACGGAGAGCGGGAGAGAUAUACUGAGAGUCGAUAGACCAUUAACCCUCUCACUCCUGAAUAUCCUUCAUCCCGUUAUAAAAGCUUAUAAAAUACACACAGGACCUGUUCAUCCUCAAUCCCUUAAAGCCCGAUGGAUAAAGACAACGAACAAUUACCGGAUCCGAAUCAGGUUUAUUACUACUGAUCUAUGUUUGCAACAGCACUGCAAUGCGACACUUACACAAAUGACAGUAAGUUACGAUAAGAAACGUAUAUUAAAUAAGUCGUGCAAAACCUGAGAUAGCGUUCACUAGUUUCAAGGUUCGUUCAGAAAUCUGAUGGCGGAGGGGAAGAAGCAGUUCCUAAAAUGAUGAGUGUGCGUCUUCAGGCUCCUGUGCCUUUUCCCUGACAGUAAUGAGAAGAAGGCAGGUCCUGGGAGGUGAGGGUCCUUAAUGAUGAAACACAGAAAGUUUCGGGGAAUAACUGUCACGUGGAAGUUUUUUUUUAAAUUUACCUUUCCUCUGACGGGACUAAUGAAAUGAAUAUAGUUAUUGAAUGUUUGCCUGGAUAGUCUGUAACAAGGUAAUCGAAUAAACCCAUCUGCAUGGCACAAACCACAUGCCCAACAGCGCCACUGGCUGGGACCAACACUUGACCAUGAAUGAACGGAAACUUAGUCAGUGGGUUGGAUUUUAACACCAGACAGAUAAUCGGACCGCGACCAGAGAGACCCAGAGCCCAGCAACGGGAAUCAAAUCCGAAAAUUCCCAAUACCUAUUUUCAAUUAUUAGCAGAGGACUGCCUUUUCCCUAGUGAUGAUGUACAAAGCACGGACACAGUUUCAAUCAUUUUAAUCAUUGCGGAAGGGUUCUAUCCCGUUAUAAACUUUAACACUUAAUAUUAUUUAGCAAAGCAUCCCGUAUGUUGGUCCGAAGAAAGUAGUAUAUUCAGACAACCCUAUUGCACAACACCCCUAAACACCAAGUCCAGGUUUCAUCAUACCAACGUAAUACGUCAUUUCAAGGGUUCUAUCCGCCAUCGGCGUUGGCUUCUCCUGAAUCCCUUUGAAGGAAAAUUUGUGUUUCGGUGGUUUUAACGCUCAACAAUAUGUGUCUGAAUGGAAUUAACGCAAGCUGGUUUCCUUUCUCCGCAACAACUCAAGUCAGUAACUGAACAGACAGAUACAAUAGUUUUCAGGCAAAUCUAAACAAAUCUCUGUUGUCAGUGAUGUUUUCGCAAAGGACACGUAAGGAUUUUGCGUUCCAAACCACUUGAUUAGAUUUAUUGCAGUCUGAACGCCACGUUCCAUCUGCUUAUUAUAAACGAGACCCACCCUCUAAUAACACAUUGUUAAGGUGCCACACGUUGUGUUUUACAUGAAAACUUAUGUUCAUUAAUCAUAAGUUUGCAGCAAGCUUCAUUGUUAUACUGUCAACUGAAUAACAUUUGACGUCUAUGGUUGCUAAGCAUUUUAUUCUAAUACACACGAAAUAUAAUACAGCAUUGGUAACAACCAAUGGGCACGAGUCACAUUCAAAUAUAUUAUGAACACCAUCAGUUAGGGAGAUGGGCCGAGGAAGAGCAAAAUGGAUUUCAACGUAGAGGUAAUGCAUUUUGGACUGUCAAACCAGGGUAGGACAUAUACGGUGAAUGGUGGAGUACCGGUGAGUGUUGUUGAAUAGAGUGUCCUGGGAGGGCGAGUGCAGAAUUUCCUAACAGCGGCCACGCUGGUGGUGAAGGUUUUUAACAUGAUGGACUUCAUCGAGUUGAGUAGUGGGAACGGCACGGAAGCGUAGAGGUUAGAACAAAGCUUUACAGCACUAGUGACUCGGUUACAAUAGCGGCAGGAAUUGAACCGGGGUCGAUUCUCCGGUUUUCUCCGGGUGUUCCGGUUUCCUCCCACAGUGCAAAGGCUUACUGGUCAUUGGCCAUUGAUGGCCAUCAAAGGCUAAUUGGCCAUUGUCUCUGAUUAGGCUAGGGUUAAAUCGGGAAUUGUUGGGCACUUUGAGCCGGAAGGGCCUACUCUACACUGUAUUUCAAUAAAUAAGUUAUGUUGUAGUUAUAUAAGUCGUUGGCACGCCCUUGUGAUAUUGAGUACAGUCUUGGCCACCCAGUUGGAGGAAAUACAUUGUUAAGCCGGGCGGGGAGCCUGUUUGGCUUUAAGCAGAGGUUGGCGACUCUCGAUCUUUAUUUGCUGGAGCAGAGGAGAACCUCACAGAAGUUCAUAAAGUCAUAAGGAAUUUGCAUAAGAUGGAUGGUCGUACUCUUUUCCCCAGAGCUCGGGAAUCUAUAAGGCACCGACAUAAGAGUCGAAAUACUUGAGAGGUAACUUCAUCAUGCAGAGAGUAGUGAGAACUUGGAAUGAGCUGCCAGAGGAAAUGGUCGAGCUGGGUGCAACCGCCGCACUUCCGAGGCAUUUGGAUAGGCACAUGGAGGGGACGGGUUUGAGGAGGUUUGAGCCGAACGCGGGAAACUGGGACUAGCAGGAAGGAUAGGGUGGUCAGCAUGGACCAGCUGGGCCGAACGGCCUGUUUCUGCACUGCAUUACACUAUAAUACUCAUACCUGUACAUCUGAACACACAUUUCAAGGGAAGGAGCUAGCUCAGACAUUUUACUUAGGAAUAUAACGAAUUCUAGUUUAUUGUAAUAUUGCUAAUUUUGCAAAUUCAAAUUGUUCAGACUGUCAGUUAUGUUAUUUAUAUACAAAGUAUAAUAUAGUUAGAUCGAUUAUCUAAUUCUGAUACAGUUGUUACGGUGGUUUUGACAUGGGGAGGUGCGGCAAAUAUCACUUUCUGCCCAGUCUUUUUUGCACCCGGUUUAUUCUGCGUCAGAUAGAACUCUUGCGCUAUCUCGGCUUGAGUUUGAGCAUCAAUCCGAGAGAACUGCCGCAGGCGGUUUCAUUCCGCCUCCCACCGGCGCACGGCGGAACCACCAGCCCACGGUUGCAAAAAGCACCGCGUCAGAAUGCAACACACAGAAAUUCCGGAGGAAUUCAGCAAGUCAGGCAGCAUCUAUGGAAAUCAUCACAGUCGACGUUCCGGGCCGAGUCCCAAAGUCCUGGCCGAAACGCCGUCUGUUUAUUCAUUUUCAUAGAUGCUGCCUGAUUUGCUGAGUUCCUCCAGCGUUCUGAGCGCGUUGCUUCGGAUUUCCAGCGUCUACAGAACUUCACGUGUUUGUGAACAUGUCAGAAUGUGAAACAGAGCCAAUGGACCUUGGACCGCAGCCUGGAGCCCUGACCUCCUUGUGACCUGAUUUCUCCUUCCCUAUUCUGCUUUCAGCCCACUUAUUUCGAAAGUGAUGAAGUAAUCGUGACUCGCCUUUAGGUAAUCAGGAUCACUGUGUUCCAGAAACGAAACACUCUCCGUUAUCACCUGAAGGAGAUGCGGGAUUCGUGGAUCGCUACGCGCUGUGGCCGCUCCCUGCCAGCGGCGUAUCUAAGGUACGGUAGGUAUGGUACGUGCCCUGGGCGCCUCUUGAAGGGGGGGGGGCGCCACUGAGCAGUUUCUAUUAAAGUCAGACAAGCCAACCUGGGAUAGUGAGAAAAGAAUUUUCUUCAGAUUUAUGAUCUGCCUUUAAUUAUCAUGGGUGAGGAGCACUAGGAUGGCCUUAUUUCAGAGCAUUGUGUGAGAAGACCAUGAAAGGUUUCUUCACGAGGGAGGAUAGUGGAGCUGAAGGACGGAAGAGACGGAAGUUGGAGGCGGAGGAAGCCAAGCAGUCGAGCAAGUUCCUCAUGCUUUGAAAAGCCUGGAACAAGUAGUUCAACACGUUCUAUGGAGUUGCCUGCACCUGCUAUAAGUUUGUUAGAAUCCAAAGGUGGAUCAAGUAUAAAUGCAUCACAAGCCGAGGAGGUAGUCAAGUCAAAUGAAUCUGAGUAUGACGAGAUUAAGAGUGAGGCAGAAGAGAACAGAGGACGUGGACGUGAUGGGAGGGGAAGAUGAUGGUGGUGGUGGUGAUGUUAAGUUUAUUGAUGAGAUUUUACCUGACAAGAUUGAACCUGACGACACUGAACCUAGUGAACUGGAUGGUAUCAAAGAGCCUCGAACAGUCAUAUCAGAAGUGAUUGAAUAGCAUGACAUUGAACUUCUGAAGUUUGACAAGAAUACUGGAAAAGCAAUUCUGCCUGAUGUGUUGAGAAUAGAAAUAAUAAAGCUGGGUUCGAAGUAUUUCCAGAACAGUGAGGGGCCUGUCCUACCAACAAAUAACUACUCAAUGAACAAAACUUGGUUCAAGAGGAAAUUGGGAAAUGGUUGUGGUGAGGAAGUGACUUGCUCAUUGCUCACUUCUAAAAAGUCUGCAUUUUGUAUCUGUUGUCUUCUGUAUUCCCGGUCAGACCAUCAAUCCUCAUUGGAGCAGGAAAGUGGAUUCAACCAGUGGAAAGCACCUGAAAAGGUUAGUGUUCAUGAAAAUGCCAGAAUCAUUGGGAUUGCUUCACACAGUGGAAAGAAAUGGAAAGAAAUUUAGCUGGAAACAGAGGAGUUAUUGACGUGGUAUUUCAAUCACAGAUUGAGAAGGAAAAGCAGAAGUGGCGUGAUAUCUUGACAAGAAUCCUUCACUGCAUAAAAUUCCUUGCGACUCAGAACCUGGCUUUGCGAGGACACAGGGAGUCACUUCAGCUAGACGAUGACUCCAAUGGGGGAAAUUUCCUUGGCUUACUGAAACUACCGGCCAUCUUUGACCCUGUCAUAAAAGAACACCUCACUCAUUUGGAAAGUCAUCCUGGAUCCACGUCUUAUCUUUCAUCAGGUGUCCAGAACAAAUUCAUCCACAUGAUGGCAUCCACUGUUCACCAGAGUUCACUGAGAAGCAUUGGUAAAGCCAAGUACUAUGGUCUCAUGUUUGACUCAACACCUGAUCAGGCACACUGAGCAGAUGUCAGACGUAGUGAGGUAUGUGGAAGUUGAUUUUGAGAGGGAAACAGUCCAUGUUAGAGAGUCCUUCCUUGGUUUUAUCCAGAUAAGCCAGAAGGAUGCUAAGAGCUUGGUUGAAGACAUCUUGAAACAGCUAGAAGGACAAAAUGGAGCUACAAGAUUGUCGGUCACAGUACUAUGACAACAGGACCUAAGGCUCCACCUGUACCUCCUUCUUAAUGGUAGGAGCAAGAAGAGAGCAUGGUCUGGAAGAUGGGUGUCCUUGCUGAUUGAUACAGCUUCAGUACUUAAAAUGACUGAUAGCAUUGGUUAUUUUUUCCUCUUUUUGCAAAUGUCAUUUUAAUCUAUUUUUAAUAGAAAAAGUAAAUAAAGAUUUCCAGUCAUCACAUGAUGGGAAUUAGCAUUCUGGAUCUCCAGCUUCCUCCAGCUGGUAAAGGAAAAUAAUACUGCCUUUGUUCCAGUUACUGAAAAACGUCACAAGUGCAAAAAAAAAUACAGAACCUGGCAAUGAGUUUGGUUAGCUGUUUAACAAGGCCCCUGGUAUUAAUUUUUCAUGGAUAACCGAGGAUAACAUUCACCUAUUGUCCCAAAGAUCUUCAAAGGAACAUAACUCUACUUUAUAAAACUCUGGUUAGGCCACAUCUGGAGUAUUGUGUACAGUUUUGAUUGCCCCACUACAGGAGGGAUGUUGAGGCUUUGAAGAAGGUGCAGAAAAGGUUUAUCAGGAUGUUACCCAGUCUAGAGGACAUGUGCUACCACGAGAGGCUGGACAGCCAGAGCCCGAGGGGAAAUCUAAUAGAGGGUUUAUAAGAUAAUGAGAGGCAUAGAUAGAGAGGACAGAGAAUAUCUGUUUCUCAGGGUUGAAACGUCUAAAGCCAGAAGGAAUGCAUUGAAAGCAGUGGUGGGCUAAGGAGAGAAGCGAGCAUACUGGUAGAGAGAUGCAAGAGAGCAGGGAGCAGGUGCGUAUCUACGGAAAAUAGCGCCUUUGGCAAACACUGAAAUUGCGCCCCUGUCCAAACAUCCAACACCCAUCUUUUAGAUAACUUUACCAUAAUAUCAGCUCAAAAAUACAAGUCAAACUUUUAACUAACAAAUUAUGGUACUACAUGAAAAUUGUUACUGCAUUUUCCUUGCUUUCACUGAUGCAAAUUGGUCUAUGAUGUGAUGAAAGUCAGUUUUUCAGUUUCUUCCUUCUACGCUCAGCAGAGCGAGAUCACAGAGUCUGCCUUGACCCAAUGAGACUCUCAAAUGCAAAAGUAUAGUUUUAACUUGCUGAAAGAUCUCUCACAGCUGGCGAUGGAAACUGCGAUGUUUAGCAUUAUCUGAAUAGCAAUGAAGAUUGGGGAAGACGCUCUCAUCUCCAUACUGAACAAUAAAUUCAAGAAGCCCUUCAGGUCUUGAUAUUUUCAUGUUGACCCACCUUGAUAGCAACAUCCUGCAAUCCAACAAUCAAGCUCCUGAACUGGUGAGGAUAACUUCUGAAUUGAUUCCACAACCUACAGACUCACUUUCAAGCUCGUUGCAGCUCAUGUUAUCAGUACUACUUAUUUGAUUUUUGUAUUAAUUAUUUGUUUGGUUGCCCUCUUUUGCAUGUUGGUUGUUUGCUGGUCUUUGUUAUUUAUAAUUUUUCAUAAUUUUAAUUCUAUUACUGUACUGUUUUCCUGUAAAUGCCUGCAAGAAAAUGAAUCUCAAACUGCUAUACGGUGGAAUACAGUACGUGUUCUCUGAUAAUAAAUUUACUUCGACUUUACCUGCAGUACCUCCAAGAGGAUUGCAGCUUUAUCAUGGCUAGACUUGUGUACAUCAAUGACCUGAAGGACUAUGCUGGUUGGAGUCAGGGUUUUAUGCUUUGGCUUUUGGUAGGGCCGCCCAUGCUAAGCAGGUCAAAUGUCAUAAGAUGGGCAUUGAGAGCGGACCCAAAUGCAAGACACAGACACUGAAGUACUAGGGAUAGGACUAGGUGUGUCAAGAAAGCAAGGGAAGUGGGGAAGAAAUGCCGCUGAAACAGGCCCUGGACAAGACUAGGAUACAGGGCCAGGGCUAGGACUAGACUAGGAAAGCGGAACCUGGAACCUGGACAAGGACUCCAAGCCAGAGUCUGGACAAGAACCUGGAACCUAGGUCUUAACUUGGGCUCGGACUCCAGAUCUAGGCUCGGACAAGA
This is a long non-coding RNA of Hypanus sabinus (Atlantic stingray), 8447 nucleotides long. RefSeq lists it as uncharacterized. NCBI's taxonomy places the organism in Eukaryota, Metazoa, Chordata, Chondrichthyes, Myliobatiformes, Dasyatidae. The transcript is spliced from 3 exons. The record is from RefSeq and is a predicted model, not a curated record.